UGGAGGCAUUAAAAAAGAGUACUAUCCUUUUGAAGUAUGGGUACACUGAUGCUGGUUGUUGGAUCCAUUAAUUAAUUUAUCUCUAUUCAGAAUAUUCUAAUGAACUAAAACCCAAGAUUGCUGUUAAUUUAAAGCAGAAGCAAAAGCGUGGCUGAACAGAUGAUGUUUGCCACGUUUUAACAGACUUCCACAAUGGUUCCUGAGAGAUAACCAAGUGAAAAACAAAUUUGAACUAUUUUGUGGCUCUAAACUGUGUUUUAAAACUCUAAUUAAAGGGGGCAGCCAGCUCCUAUUACAUAUCUGGUGCACGUGGAGUACUCCCAUAGACUUUUUAAACACUGUAUGCUUAGGCUACACUAAAUAUAGAAAAAAAUUU
RNAcentral lists this long non-coding RNA (376 nucleotides) under Pan troglodytes (chimpanzee). RNAcentral's name for it is "long non-coding RNA NONPTRT016821". The record is from RNAcentral. Lineage: Eukaryota; Metazoa; Chordata; Mammalia; Primates; Hominidae.